RNAcentral lists this long non-coding RNA (220 nucleotides) under Linum usitatissimum (flax). RNAcentral describes it as "long non-coding RNA (LUSI_LNC000293)". The record is from RNAcentral. Lineage: Eukaryota; Viridiplantae; Streptophyta; Magnoliopsida; Malpighiales; Linaceae.
UUAGCGAAUCUACCAUCCAUUCACGAGGUUUAGAUAUUUCUUGUCCCCUUUUGGUGCUUGGAUGUUGUUGUGGUGAGAUUUGGGAGAGUAAGGUUCUCUAAUAAUAUUAUGAUACCGCAUCAACAUUUCAUGUAUCUUCGUGCAAUUAGCCUACUCUUUUCUUCGUUGCUCUUCAGCUCCGUUUAGUCGUCUAAUUUUAUACAUCGAUGAUGAUGACGAC